Molecule: non-coding RNA, 85 nt
Organism: Pelobates cultripes (western spadefoot toad)
Lineage: Eukaryota; Metazoa; Chordata; Amphibia; Anura; Pelobatidae
Source: the annotation of a GenBank genome assembly
CUCCAGAUGUUGCUGAAGUACAACUCCCAUGAUUCUCAGCCUAUUUCAUAGAAUCAUGGGAGUUGUAGUUCAGCAACAUCUGGGG